Molecule: long non-coding RNA, 625 nt
Organism: Argiope bruennichi
Lineage: Eukaryota; Metazoa; Arthropoda; Arachnida; Araneae; Araneidae
Exons: 3
Source: RefSeq, a predicted model, not a curated record
CAUCUACGCAGUGAUUCUAGCCAAGGUUAGAGACGUGAAAGCGAUGUCAAGGUCAUUUUGGAGAGUAUACACUAGAAGUCUGCGCCCGGAAACGCUGAAGUGGUUGGGAGUUCGAAAAAGGGCGUUUCAAAGCUCAUAUUAAUGCCAAGCGUUUGAAUCUGCUCAUCGAUUUUGCUGCCGUCCUGUCCUAGGCUGAUAACAAGAAUAUGACAACUGUAGUUUGAUGAGUGAAUGAUCAAGUAAAGAAAUCACUCUAGAGAGCUCCUAACCUCUAACUUGGGAAAAAGUUGACACACUCCUCUACCAAAUGAGUCUCCAUGACGGCAGUACCAGGUAGCGUGACCAGCUUCUCAGCCUCGUAAAUCUUUCAAGGAACAGCUCCCCUUACUCCCCGUGAACGGUUGUUCCUAUCGUUUUACGCACCCAGACAAGGAAGAAAAAAUGUCAGCCUGAAGAAAAUUCAUGAUUACCGGAAGAGUUGUGUUGUCAGACUUAAUCACCAUAAAGCAGCUUCUUAGCUAUUAGGAUCGACAACAUUUUUUUAGCAAACAAUCUGUGCAAUUAUUAUAUGAUAAUACUAGAUUGAAGGAUUUAUCUUAUUAUAGGAUAUGUUUUCUUCAGAUGU